RNAcentral lists this long non-coding RNA (365 nucleotides) under Monodelphis domestica (gray short-tailed opossum). Its description in RNAcentral is "lncRNA (ENSMODG00000049090.1)". The record is from RNAcentral. Lineage: Eukaryota; Metazoa; Chordata; Mammalia; Didelphimorphia; Didelphidae.
CUCUGGGAAAAAGCCAACUUUAAAAGAGCUGGCAAUCUCCAUCAUGUCCCUGUCCUCGGGUUUCUAAACUAGAGACUUUAAGGAACAUUCUUUUGGAAACCCUGCUAUGUUCUCAAGGGGAAAAGAGAUUCUGCACUAUCUCUGCUUAUAAGACUUUGUGAAGUCAAUAGAGAAGUGGGGGUUAUGCCCUCAUCUUCAUACAAGGAUUCAAAAGAUUGGGAGUGGAGUGGAUGCUGGCAGCAGCCUGGACUUCCUUCUAUAAAGGAAAACAAGAAAAACAAGCAGCAUAGUGAAGAGGUGACUGUCCUCCAGGAAAUUCCUUUUGCAUACCUUGUUGACUGUGUGACUGGAAAAGUGAUUACAUU